Molecule: ribosomal RNA, 254 nt
Filed under: uncultured bacterium
Lineage: Bacteria
Description: partial 16S ribosomal RNA
Rfam family: Bacterial small subunit ribosomal RNA
Source: RNAcentral
GACGUAGGGUCCAAGCGUUGUCCGGAUUUACUGGGCGUAAAGAGCGCGUAGGCGGUCUGUUAAGUGUGAAGUGAAAUCUCCAGGGCUCAACCCGGAAACUGCUUCGCAUACUGGCAGACUUGAGGGAUGCAGAGGUUUGUGGAAUUCCUGGUGUAGCGGUGAAAUGCGUUGAUAUCGCUUGGAACGCCGAAGGUGAGAACAGGCUGCUGGGGUUGCGCCGACGCUGAGACACGAAAGCCAGGGGAGCAAACGGG